CGUUGGCUGCGACUUGCGGGGAAGAACCGCUGCGCGGUGCCUUCCGGACUUCGUUUCCACAUCCCCGCUGUAAAUCUGUGCUCUGCGCGCGCUGGCCGCCAGCCGGGAAAAGAUCUGGCUGCGUGUGGGAAAAGAUAGUAACCUAGAAACAGGCCAUCCUCAACAAGUACAAUAAUAGGUAUAGACAGUGUCUCUUGACUCCCAGUUUUAAAAGAUGAAGAUGCCAGCAUCUCUAACCUUCCACAGUCCCACUUUACAGAUGAGAAAGUGGAGUCCAGAGAGGUUAAGCAGCUGGUAACCAGAGGAGCUGGUGUUGCAGCCCUGGAGCCUGAACUGUUAACAGCUGGACAGUGAGAGCCGUGACUAAUGUUUCACCACCUGGGGAAAGCAAGGAAGAACACUGUGGGGUUGAAUUGGAAAUGGCUGUAUUGGCACAAAGCCAUGUCGGGAAGUAGAGCAUGCAGACAAGGUUGGCACAGGCAGAGAACUCAAAGGAGAGAGCAGAGGCCUAAGA
Non-coding RNA from Kogia breviceps (pygmy sperm whale), 514 nucleotides. NCBI's taxonomy places the organism in Eukaryota, Metazoa, Chordata, Mammalia, Artiodactyla, Physeteridae. The record is from RefSeq and is a predicted model, not a curated record.